GCGUAUUAUACUGCCUCUACAAGUAAGAAACCUGAUGUGUAGAGAGGGCGUUUUAAAGAUAAAUGGUAAAACUGAACUGGAAAUCCAUCUGGCCGGCUGCCUGCUCUAAUGAAUAACCCCACUUUGGCUCGUGCAAUGACUUCUUCCCUUUGGAAUGCAAGUGCGGUGGCAGUGUCAAGGAUGCCUGUGUGUUUGCAGCAGGUUCCUUCCAGAAGCAGCUGCAAGUGCCACCUCCAGGCCAUCUGGCCAAUGUGAGGAAAGGAGGCUGCAAGGGCUUGGCAAAAACAACUUUCUGUUCCUCUGGUAUCCCCUGAUAACUGAUUUCAAGUUAUGGCCAAGGACUGCCUUAUCGCCGUCAGUGGCUGUCAAAAAUUUAUAAGUAUAUUCAUUUCCCUAUUCAACUUAAUUGGUAUUUUGGGUAUGACACUAGAAAAGCAAGUUAGACUUGCCUGUUGGAGUCCAAGGAUACCUCCAACAAAAUUCUAGACAAUAAAAGAAAGGGUAAGUGUCUGAGGGGAGGGGGCACUUACAAAUUAUUCCAUUUAAUGCUAAUUCGAGGCUUCCAGAUUCAUUUUGGGAAAAUCAAAGAGCAAGAGCUGUAUGCAUGGCUUUUUAAAACACAAAGAAAAUUGGGAAGCAUGGGCUUCCCAAUUUUCCUGCGCAUAAACUUCUAGAACAAUUUCUAUUGUUGAUACUUUAAAAAAAAUCUUUUUCUUUUCUGUGAUGUGGUCUUUUAAACUCAUACCACAACUUAUGGCUCCCUCUACUUCCUAUAUUUUAAUUGAUCUUGAGGUUAUUUUCAAGUCACUGGGCUUAAUGAACAAAUAUUUUAGAAUUUCUUCCUUUAUAUACACUCAUUUCUGUCUCAAUAAAAUGUCUAAUCAGGAAUUCACUUGUGUAGAAAAUAAAAAAUAGAAGUACAUACCCUUCAAGUGAAGUUAGUUGUUUCUGUGAUUUUAUAAAAUCCAUGGACCUCAAGUUUGAGUAUCAUUGUUAUAAAAAACACAGCCAUUCAAGCCAUGCAUGGCACAAUUACUCAUUAACUGGGCAGCUUUUCCUUCAGAACACGGGAAUAUGGGGACAGAGGCCAUGUGAUAAUGUUGCAGGCUCCAUGUCAUGGACCAGUAUGGAAAUCCUAGCUUUUCCUCCUCUGAAAUUGGGUUACUUUGUCCAUGAAAUGGGGAUAUUCUUGCCGAACUAGCAUGAUUGACAUCAUCUCACCAAAAUCUCAACAAACGUAUGGGUACCCAACAAAUGCUGUUGAUUUAUUUCAUUGGGGUACUUCAGUAAUGAGAAGUAGUUAAUCAACCGGGUUAGGGUUUGAAAUUGGCCAAAUCUCAGAAAUCACCCUGAUGCGACUUAACUCUUCUCUGCCUCAGUUCCCUUAUCUCUAAAAUGGAACUAAUAUCAAUGUUUUUGAAACUAUGAAAAGAAUUAAUGCACAUUAAGUCCUUAAGAGAUUUCCUGAUGUAAACUGUGGACCUGGGGUGACAAUGGUG
This 1499-nucleotide long non-coding RNA is filed under the name Homo sapiens (human). RNAcentral describes it as "HSALNT0225220". The record is from RNAcentral. Lineage: Eukaryota; Metazoa; Chordata; Mammalia; Primates; Hominidae.